Molecule: small RNA, 2963 nt
Filed under: Lupinus albus (white lupine)
Lineage: Eukaryota; Viridiplantae; Streptophyta; Magnoliopsida; Fabales; Fabaceae
Source: RNAcentral
CUCCCUCCCUGGACGAGCACGGGGCUUAGUCAAGUAGAACCGGGUUGCGCUGCUUGAUGCUCCGAUCGAAAAGAAAUCAGUGGGGCCAUGCCGGUACGACUGAAUAUGCGUUAAAAAGGUCAAUCCCUCCCCUACGACACCAAAAAAAACCGGGCCGAACUUCUAACAGCCCGCCCGCUUCCAUAGAACAAUAUCGUGGCAACGUAGACCUAAGUGGUCAUAUUGGAUCUUUGGGAACCAUCACAAGUGCGGCCGGCCUAUCUUUAAACGAGAAUGCCGUGUCGUCCAGCGGAGCCUAGAAGAAGGUGACUCGCGCAGACAGCUGACUCCUUCUUUUCAAUAGAAAGGAAUAGCCAAACCAACCCAGCUGGCUGGUCAAUCUCAGAAAUCUUAUCGGCCGGCAAACCGGAGACGGACGACCACGGUCCCGACCUUAUCAGCACCGGAGGUGUACUAAUCAAUGAACCCACCCCCGAAACCUACUUUAUUUUCUGACAAAAUAAACCAAGCCUAACCGGUCACGACAUGUUGUUGAUAUUGAUUGAGUUUGAGGGACUUUCGCUGACUAAAUCCAUCCAUAAACCUAGACCCCGGCUACUUUCGUAACCAAAGCGUCAAGACAACAGCCAAAGGUGACCUUUGGAUUCUUAAGUAGGGGGCAAAGAGGAGCACGUAGGAAUGCCGACCACUACAUAAGCCACUGGUGGCUGAGAGAAAGCGAGCAGCACCUUGUAUAGGUUGGGCGGAGCUUGAAGAAGCGAGCCCCUAUAAGAGAAAGCCAUUGCUAGCUAGCCUAGCUAGCUAGCGUUUUUCAGCUGGCUGUUAUGUUAGUUGUAGCGCGCCUUCCCUCCUUAUCUCACUUCGGAAAGAUUUAGCAGUCUUUUCUUAUGAUGACCUGGUCGAGAGAGUACGAUACAUCGGUGUAAAAGAUGGAGUGGGAUCUGUGAGGUUGGUUAUAGUAAGCCUGAAAGUUUUCUUGCCUCUAUCAUUGAAGGAAAGGUUGGUCAACAAUUUUGAGAGUUUGCUUCUACACGGAAACGAAGACUUUCGAGAACAAAUAUUAAACCGGGAAGAAAAAAGGGGAAAAAGUCAAUAAAGUCUAAGCGCAUAUGGCACGAAAAGGAAAUCCGAUUUCGGUAAGACUCGAUCUGAAUCGUAGUUCAGAUUCAAGUCGGUUUAGUGAGGGCGACCGCGAAAGUCACCGAAUGGGUCAGUCUUUUCCUUAAGUUUGUCCUAUAUAUCUGUUGAAUAAAAAAGCGUGGGAGGACGUUGCAGAUGUCCGGGACGGACACGACUUCUUCUAAGGCUAGAAGACCACUGGAAGACACCCGGGACCAGAGCAUGUCGUGAAAGAAGCACACUGGGCGGGCGUGCUUCGACCGUGUCUCCGGGGCACAGUUGAAUGUAGAUAUCAUGAACGCGAGGUGCAGGAUACCAGGCCGAGAAACCCGGGCAACCACCCCCUAUGUGCCGAUCGCUAGCGCAUCCAGGGCCCCGGCGCCCAGCCUCCGCUGGAGAGGCCUAGCCUGAUCUGAGAAGUGCUAAUUAGGUUCGGAUAGACUUCAUUCAAGAACGCCGCCGCCCCUGGAAUCAAUAAGAAAACAAGUGCUAAGUUUCAGAUCAGUGAAUAAACCGAAACGAAAGAAGAAAGAGACGUUUCUCGCUCGGCGCCUAAAGCGCACUAUGCUCCGCUUCAACAAAUGAGAGUUUUCGGUGGAACCGGUGAACCACGCGAGCUGGUUAGAUGCGUGGGACAGAGGGCUCAUAGUACCUGCUAGCGCAGCUAUGCAGUGGAAGGGAAGGAGCCUAAAUCGACCCCCUUCUUUUUGAUUUGAAAAAUCAAAAAGCAGUACAAAGAGAUUAGACUCUCGGAUGAGACUAAGCAGCCACCGACCGUUCCGACGCGCCCCUGACCUAUUUUUUUUAUUAAGACCGAAAACCUAUCUAAAAUGGAGCCUAGUUUAGGCUGUCAAACAAAUGAUAAAAUGGAAAAUUUGAAAGAUAACCACUAGUAGGGAUAUGGAUGGAGUCUCGCUCAGUAAAGAGAGUUGUAGAUUCGUAGAAAAGGAGAGGAGCCUUGACUUUCUAUGAUGUUAUUAGUCAAGAAGCGCUAACGCUGCAAUCUUUCUAAAGCAAGAAGCGAGAAACUUGACUUUGAGAAAGAAGGUGCUUGUUGCCGCUUUAUUUUUUUAGUAAGUAAACUUGUUUUCUUUUAUUUCUUUUAUAAGGCGAAAGGUUGCUAUUUUUAUAAAAUUCUUAUAGCGUUAGCGCUUUAGUUUUCAAUAAGUUUAGGCGCUUGACUAAUAACAUAGAAAUUUUGAAUCAGGGUGCUUCAGUCUGGUUUGGAACCCUAUACAACCAGAAGGGCCUUUCCUUUCAAAUGACAACUGCCUCUUCCUGCUGCGAAGGCCUUGCACGAAACCAACCCCCCCCACCCCCGAUCCAGUACCAGUAGUUUCGCUGGUAGGCCCACUUAUUCCUAGGUUAGGGGGGCAUUGUCCCUCAGUUCUUACCAACCUCCGGUGUGUAAUCGACAUGUUGCUAACUUCAACUCGGUUGAAUAAGAAUCAUUGAUUCCCUUUGCUAUCCAUUUCUUAUUCAUUCAGGGCGCUCGGCCGGUGCUCCUUUUUUAAACCAGAACAACUCUGAACGUUAGAGAAGAUAAGGGAAGACCACCUGAGCGAACCGACCGAGGGGACUUGACUUAUUUUAUUCGAACCGAACGAUAGCGGCUUAAAGCUAAGCCUAUCACGAGCAGCGUCGCUGCUUGAAGGGUUCGGCGGGGAUAAGCAUCUCAAAGUAUGGGGCAAAGGAUCAAGCGCUUUUACUUUGUCUCCAGGGACACAGGUUGGGUUUGAGAGCCGUGUGAUGGGUGACUAUCCAGCACGGUUCGGAGAGCACUUUUAGUCUGCGUUGGUGAAUGGAAGCCCCUCUAUAAAGCAAGAAAGAAGCGGCUAUUCCCC